GAUGAACGCUGGCGGCGUGCCUAAUACAUGCAAGUCGAGCGAACGGACGAGAAGCUUGCUUCUCUGAUGUUAGCGGCGGACGGGUGAGUAACACGUGGAUAACCUACCUAUAAGACUGGGAUAACUUCGGGAAACCGGAGCUAAUACCGGAUAAUAUUUUGAACCGCAUGGUUCAAAAGUGAAAGACGGUCUUGCUGUCACUUAUAGCUGGAUCCGCGCUGCAUUAGCUAGUUGGUAAGGUAACGGCUUACCAAGGCAACGAUGCAUAGCCGACCUGAGAGGGUGAUCGGCCACACUGGAACUGAGACACGGUCCAGACUCCUACGGGAGGCAGCAGUAGGGAAUCUUCCGCAAUGGGCGAAAGCCUGACGGAGCAACGCCGCGUGAGUGAUGAAGGUCUUCGGAUCGUAAAACUCUGUUAUUAGGGAGGAACAUAUGUGUAAGUAACUGUGCACAUCUUGACGGUACCUAAUCAGAAAGCCACGGCUAACUACGUG
This 497-nucleotide ribosomal RNA is filed under the name uncultured bacterium. Its description in RNAcentral is "partial 16S ribosomal RNA". It matches the Rfam family "Bacterial small subunit ribosomal RNA", at positions 28 to 507 of the family's 1533-position model. The record is from RNAcentral.